This 72-nucleotide transfer RNA is filed under the name Ixodes scapularis (black-legged tick). It matches the Rfam family "tRNA". From Rfam's summary of the family: Transfer RNA (tRNA) molecules are approximately 80 nucleotides in length. Their secondary structure includes four short double-helical elements and three loops (D, anti-codon, and T loops). The record is from Rfam by way of RNAcentral. Lineage: Eukaryota; Metazoa; Arthropoda; Arachnida; Ixodida; Ixodidae.
CCCUGGUUAGCUCAGUUGGUGGAGCGCUCCGCUAGAAAUGGAGAGGUCCCUGGUUCAUACCAGGACCAGGCG